AGGAUGGUGCCGCCGUUACUGGUCUUGUCUUCUUAUUGCUGGAGCAUCCUUAGUGGCAGUUAGUACAACAGGAAAUGCUAUUGAUCACCGAAUUGGUUCCAUCAUAGCUGGUAGUUUACCUGGAAUGGUUGCUUUAUUUCUUAUUCAGAGGAAUUGGAAUGCUCGGAUUGGUAGGGCAAUUGAUGAUCAUGACAUGAAAAGGGCGCUUCGGUUUUUAAAUCUGGUCCAGUGAAGACAAUAGUCACAAUACUACUAUCAAUUUGGAGUACUUCUCUUAUCUUUAGCCUUCUAUGAUUUUACUUUCUAAUUUGCCACAGGUUGUAGAUGCUUUGUACAAUUGCAAGAGUGAACUGAUUGGCGCUGGAUUCAAAGUAGAAAUAGGUCAUUUCUUUGAUCAUAUUCUGAUAAUGCAUCACUAGGAUACAUGUAAACGAGAGGAUUCAUUAUCUGUUUAUAAAAUUAUACUGCUCUCUAGUUGCAAG
Elaeis guineensis (African oil palm) is the source of this 482-nucleotide long non-coding RNA. RefSeq lists it as uncharacterized. NCBI's taxonomy places the organism in Eukaryota, Viridiplantae, Streptophyta, Magnoliopsida, Arecales, Arecaceae. The record is from RefSeq and is a predicted model, not a curated record.